This 390-nucleotide unclassified non-coding RNA is filed under the name Hevea brasiliensis (rubber tree). The record is from RNAcentral. Lineage: Eukaryota; Viridiplantae; Streptophyta; Magnoliopsida; Malpighiales; Euphorbiaceae.
UGAAUGUCCAAGAAGCAAGCAACACCCAAAUUUCAAACCAUGAUUCUGGUUUAUGUAUGUCCAAUGAUACUCCCCAAACAGGGUUUUGUGAUUCUUUAAGAAAGAAUCUACUUAUAUAGGAUUAUCUUCUACAUUCUAGUAACCAAAAUAGAGAGGAUCAUCUGGUAAAGAUGAUUUACACCCUCUUCAAUAUCUGAAUGUAGUUUCCAGAAUACAUAGGAAAAGAAGCAAUCUGCAAUUCUUGUCAUAUCAGAAAGACAGAUUUUUCAUUUUUUUUUUACCGCAUUAGUUCCCUUAUGAACACAACCAAAUAAAAUAACUGUUGUAUGAAAUAAAAUAAACAAGAAGAAGAAGAAAACAAAAAAAGAAGAGAAGAUGGUAAGAACAUCA